RNAcentral lists this ribosomal RNA (492 nucleotides) under uncultured bacterium. RNAcentral's name for it is "partial 16S ribosomal RNA". It matches the Rfam family "Bacterial small subunit ribosomal RNA", at positions 29 to 507 of the family's 1533-position model. The record is from RNAcentral.
AGUGAACGCUGGCGGUAGGCCUAACACAUGCAAGUCGAACGGCAGCACAGUAAGAGCUUGCUCUUACGGGUGGCGAGUGGCGGACGGGUGAGGAAUACAUCGGAAUCUACUUUUUCGUGGGGGAUAACGUAGGGAAACUUACGCUAAUACCGCAUACGACCUACGGGUGAAAGCAGGGGAUCUUCGGACCUUGCGCGAUUGAAUGAGCCGAUGUCGGAUUAGCUAGUUGGCGGGGUAAAGGCCCACCAAGGCGACGAUCCGUAGCUGGUCUGAGAGGAUGGUCAGCCACACUGGAGCUGGGACACGGUCCAGACUCCUACGGGAGGCAGCAGUGGGGAAUAUUAGACAGUGGGCGCAAGCCUGAUCCAGCCAUACCGCGUGGGUGAAAAAGGCCUUCGGGUUGUAAAGCCCUUUUGUUGGGAAAGAAAAGCAGCAGGUUAAUACCCCGCUGUUCUGACGGUACCCAAAGAAUAAGCACCGGCUAACUUCGUG